Molecule: ribosomal RNA, 579 nt
Filed under: uncultured bacterium
Lineage: Bacteria
Description: bacterial SSU rRNA
Rfam family: Bacterial small subunit ribosomal RNA
Source: RNAcentral
ACGGGUGAGUAAUGUCUGGGGAUCUGCCCGAUAGAGGGGGAUAACCACUGGAAACGGUGGCUAAUACCGCAUAACGUCGCAAGACCAAAGAGGGGGACCUUCGGGCCUCUCACUAUCGGAUGAACCCAGAUGGGAUUAGCUAGUAGGCGGGGUAACGGCCCACCUAGGCGACGAUCCCUAGCUGGUCUGGGAGGAUGACCAGCCACACUGGAACUGAGACACGGUCCAGACUCCUACGGGAGGCAGCAGUGGGGAAUAUUGCACAAUGGGCGCAAGCCUGAUGCAGCCAUGCCGCGUGUAUGAAGAAGGCCUUCGGGUUGUAAAGUACUUUCAGCGGAGAGGAAGGCAGUGAGGUUAAUAACCUUACUGAUUGACGUUACCCGCAGAAGAAGCACCGGCUAACUCCGUGCCAGCAGCCGCGGUAAUACGGAGGGUGCAAGCGUUAAUCGGAAUUACUGGGCGUAAAGCGCACGCAGGCGGUCUGUUAAGUCAGAUGUGAAAUCCCCGGGCUUAACCUGGGAACUGCAUUUGAAACUGGCAGGCUUGAGUCUCGUAGAGGGGGGUAGAAUUCCAGGUGUA